Molecule: ribosomal RNA, 468 nt
Filed under: uncultured bacterium
Lineage: Bacteria
Description: partial 16S ribosomal RNA
Rfam family: Bacterial small subunit ribosomal RNA
Source: RNAcentral
GACGAACGCUGGCGGCGUGCUUAACACAUGCAAGUCGAGCGGAAAGGCCCUGCUUUUGUGGGGUGCUCGAGUGGCGAACGGGUGAGUAACACGUGAGUAACCUGCCCUUGACUUUGGGAUAACUUCAGGAAACUGGGGCUAAUACCGGAUAGGAGCUCCUGCUGCAUGGUGGGGGUUGGAAAGUUUCGGCGGUUGGGGAUGGACUCGCGGCUUAUCAGCUUGUUGGUGGGGUAGUGGCUUACCAAGGCUUUGACGGGUAGCCGGCCUGAGAGGGUGACCGGCCACAUUGGGACUGAGAUACGGCCCAGACUCCUACGGGAGGCAGCAGUGGGGAAUAUUGCACAAUGGGCGGAAGCCUGGUGCAGCAACGCCGCGUGCGGGAUGACGGCCUUCGGGUUGUAAACCGCUUUCGCCUGUGACGAAGCGUGAGUGACGGUAAUGGGUAAAGAAGCACCGGCUAACUACGUG